AGUGGCGGACGGGUGAGUAACACGUGAGAAUUUACCUUUAGGAGGGGGAUAACAAUCGGAAACGAAUGCUAAUACCCCAUAUGCUUUUGAGUGAAAUGGAUUUAUUCGCCUAAAGAGAAGCUCGCGGCUGAUUAGCUUGUUGGUGAGGUAAAAGCUUACCAAGGCGACGAUCAGUAUCUGGUUUGAGAGGACGAUCAGACACACUGGAACUGAGACACGGUCCAGACUCCUACGGGAGGCAGCAGUGGGGAAUUUUCCGCAAUGGGCGAAAGCCUGACGGAGCAAUACCGCGUGAGGGAAGACUGCCUAUGGGUUGUAAACCUCUUUUUUCAGGGAGGAAAAAAAUGACGUGUACCUGAAGAAUAAGCAUCGGCUAACUCCGUGCCAGCAGCCGCGGUAAGACGGAGGAUGCAAGUGUUAUCCGGAAUCACUGGGCGUAAAGCGUCUGUAGGUGGUUUAAUAAGUCAACUGUUAAAUCCUGAGGCUCAACUUCAAAAUCGCAGUCGAAACUAUUAGACUCGAGUAUAGUAGAGGUAAAGGGAAUUUCCAGUGGAGCGGUGAAAUGCGUAGAUAUUGGAAAGAACACCGAUGGCGAAGGCACUUUACUGGGCUAUUACUAACACUCAGAGACGAAAGCUAGGGUAGCAAAUGGGAUUAGAUACCCCAGUAGUCCUAGCUGUAAACUAUGGAUACUAGA
This 697-nucleotide ribosomal RNA is filed under the name uncultured bacterium. RNAcentral describes it as "bacterial SSU rRNA". It matches the Rfam family "Bacterial small subunit ribosomal RNA", at positions 94 to 820 of the family's 1533-position model. The record is from RNAcentral.